Alosa alosa (allis shad) is the source of this 437-nucleotide long non-coding RNA. RefSeq lists it as uncharacterized. Lineage: Eukaryota; Metazoa; Chordata; Actinopteri; Clupeiformes; Clupeidae. The transcript is spliced from 4 exons. The record is from RefSeq and is a predicted model, not a curated record.
CACCCACCCUCUCCCAUCCCGCCAGUCCUUAUCAUUGUGUUCCCAGCAUCCCUGAUGCUUGGCUCGCUGAUGUCACAGGGGAAGAAUGUCACAAUGCAUGGUUGCAUGGUGUCCCCACUGCUUUAAAAGGAGAAAAUGUGUGCGAUCAGCCUCACUCUGCUUUGAAGAAGCCUUUGACAACACUGUAAGGGUCACAAGGAAAUGAGAAUGGCAUUUUCGGUCCUUUGGCAGUCAUGGAGGAGUUUGGGAGUCAUGUCAGUGACAUUGGCAAUGGUGUUUGGGGUUAUGUCAGAAUCAGAGCCGAUGGAGAUUCGAAGCCCUGCUGAGCUCUUACUUGGAGAAUGGGUGAAUGAUCUUAAAUCUCACGUGGUCAUAAACUCUACAGAAGGUGCAACAAUCAGAGGUCUAUAUCAAACUAUCGUCGGAGCAUCGAAGAA